CCGCUCGUAACUCAAUGGUAGAGUAGUCGGCUUUUAACCGAAACGUUGGGGGUUCGAAUCCCUCCGAGCGGA
This 72-nucleotide transfer RNA is filed under the name bacterium. Its description in RNAcentral is "tRNA-Lys". It matches the Rfam family "tRNA". From Rfam's summary of the family: Transfer RNA (tRNA) molecules are approximately 80 nucleotides in length. Their secondary structure includes four short double-helical elements and three loops (D, anti-codon, and T loops). The record is from RNAcentral.